UAGAGCUAUUCAAAUAAGGUACAGCCUAUUUGAAACAGGAUACAACCUUAACUAACGGGUUAUUAUUUUAACAACGCACCGAAGUAGACCUAAAAGCAGCCAUCUUUAAAAUAGCGUCAAAGCUUACCUGCCUUUACAAUUAAUCUCUAAAAAUUUUCCUAACCCUUUUCCACCACUGGGUGAUUCUAUAACCUUAUAGAGCCCAUUAUGUUAAGACUAGUAACAAGAAGUAACCCCUUCUCUUUAAUGUAAGUAUAAAUCAGAAAGGAUAAUCCACUGAUCAUUAACAUGCAUGACUCUUUAUUAGUAACAUCACAAGAAAACCCUAAUAUUUUUAAUGUUAACCUAACACAAGAGCAUUUCAAGAAAGAUUUAAAAUAAAGGAAGGAACUCAGCAAACAUCAACCCCGCCUGUUUACCAAAAACAUCGCCUCUUGAACCACAAUAAGAGGUUCAGCCUGCCCAGUGACAA
RNAcentral lists this ribosomal RNA (472 nucleotides) under Crossodactylus n. sp. PASN-2002c. RNAcentral's name for it is "partial 16S ribosomal RNA". The record is from RNAcentral. Lineage: Eukaryota; Metazoa; Chordata; Amphibia; Anura; Hylodidae.